This 172-nucleotide ribosomal RNA is filed under the name uncultured bacterium. RNAcentral describes it as "partial 16S ribosomal RNA". It matches the Rfam family "Bacterial small subunit ribosomal RNA", at positions 335 to 524 of the family's 1533-position model. The record is from RNAcentral.
ACUCCUACGGGAGGCAGCAGUGAGGAAUAUUGGACAAUGGGUGAGAGCCUGAUCCAGCCAUCCCGCGUGAGUGAAGAAGUGUUUCGGCAUGUAAAGCUCUAUCAGCAGGGAAGAAAAUGACGGUACCUGACUAAGAAGCCCCGGCUAACUACGUGCCAGCAGCCGCGGUAAU